AUCAGGAAGAAAGCUUGCUUUCUUUGCUGGCGACCGGCGCACGGGUGAGUAACACGUAUCCAACCUGCCCUUUACUCGGGGAUAGCCUUUCGAAAGAAAGAUUAAUACCUGAUGGUAUGAUGAGAUUGCAUGAUAGCAUCAUUAAAGAUUUAUCGGUGUACGAUGGGGAUGCGUUCCAUUAGGCAGUUGGUGGGGUAACGGCCCACCAAACCUUCGAUGGAUAGGGGUUCUGAGAGGAAGGUCCCCACAUUGGAACUGAGACACGGUCCAAACUCC
RNAcentral lists this ribosomal RNA (276 nucleotides) under uncultured Bacteroides sp. RNAcentral describes it as "partial 16S ribosomal RNA". It matches the Rfam family "Bacterial small subunit ribosomal RNA", at positions 68 to 339 of the family's 1533-position model. The record is from RNAcentral. Lineage: Bacteria; Pseudomonadati; Bacteroidota; Bacteroidia; Bacteroidales; Bacteroidaceae.